GUCGGAUAGCGUAGUGGCUAGCGCUCCAGAGUUGCCCUCGCAAGGUCACUGGUUCGAGUCUAGUGGAUGACA
Gigaspora rosea is the source of this 72-nucleotide non-coding RNA. NCBI's taxonomy places the organism in Eukaryota, Fungi, Glomeromycota, Glomeromycetes, Diversisporales, Gigasporaceae. The record is from the annotation of a GenBank genome assembly.